RNAcentral lists this non-coding RNA (21 nucleotides) under Caenorhabditis elegans. Lineage: Eukaryota; Metazoa; Nematoda; Chromadorea; Rhabditida; Rhabditidae. The record is from RNAcentral.
UUUUUCCUUUAUUUCUAUUUC